Molecule: long non-coding RNA, 609 nt
Filed under: Homo sapiens (human)
Lineage: Eukaryota; Metazoa; Chordata; Mammalia; Primates; Hominidae
Description: HSALNT0378178
Source: RNAcentral
ACUUGGCAACCCCACAAAUAGGGCUUCACAGCUCUCCCCCCAAUGCUCCCAAUGGCCUCUGGUCCCCAGCAUAUGAGCCCCUGCCCCUGUAGACCUAGGGAGAAGCCCUUCUCAGCUCAGCUCACCUGUUUGUAGGCAUCGAGGAGGAAGCUCUUCCAGACGCAGCGCAGUCCCUCUGAGGUCAGCAUGCGCCGCCACUCUCCGCGAGUGGACUUGGAGCGGCUCAACAGCAGCACCACGUGCUUGAGCAGAAUGACCGAGUCAUAGAGAGCCAGGAAGAGGCAGUUGGAGAAAAAAACUGGCAGAAUUUGCAGUGUGAUCAGCAAGUCUACGCUGAGGAUGCCCAUCUUCUCUGCCUCCUGACCCCAGCAUAAAGACAUGGGAUAUGUGAGAAAAGGAAUAGGAAAAAGCCAAAGAGACACCGGCUUACAUUAGAAAAUCUACUCAAAAUCACUCAAAGGAUUGACAACUAAAAUAACAGUUGUCUGCAUUCUUCUAUACUAAGAAGCAAUAUGAUUUUUUAAAUUAAAGAAGAGCCACUUCAAAUUUGUAAAGACUGGAAGUCUGAGAUGAUGUUAAAGCCAUGAAUCAGUAUGGAUAACAAUAAAG